GCGCAGCAGUCGAGAAUUUUUCUCAAUGGGGGAAACCCUGAAGGAGCGACGCCGCGUGGAGGAUGAAGGCUUUCGGGUUGUAAACUCCUGUCAUUUGGGAACAAGUUGGACGCAGUUACUACGCGUCCAUUGAUAGUACUAGAAGAGGAAGAGACGGCUAACUCUGUGCCAGCAGCCGCGGUAAUACAGAGGUCUCAAGCGUUGUUCGGAUUCAUUGGGCGUAAAGGGUGCGUAGGUGGCGUCGUAAGUCAGAUGUGAAAUCUCGGGGCUUAACUCCGAAACUGCAUUUGAUACUGCGGUGCUUGAGGACUGGAGAGGAGACUGGAAUUUACGGUGUAGCAGUGAAAUGCGUAGAGAUCGUAAGGAAGACCAGUGGCGAAGGCGGGUCUCUGGACAGUUCCUGACACUGAGGCACAAAGGCCAGGGGAGCAAACGGGAUUAGAUACCCCGGUAGU
This 455-nucleotide ribosomal RNA is filed under the name uncultured organism. Its description in RNAcentral is "bacterial SSU rRNA". It matches the Rfam family "Bacterial small subunit ribosomal RNA", at positions 346 to 794 of the family's 1533-position model. The record is from RNAcentral.